This 700-nucleotide ribosomal RNA is filed under the name Bacillus velezensis. RNAcentral's name for it is "bacterial SSU rRNA". It matches the Rfam family "Bacterial small subunit ribosomal RNA", at positions 34 to 716 of the family's 1533-position model. Lineage: Bacteria; Bacillati; Bacillota; Bacilli; Caryophanales; Bacillaceae. The record is from RNAcentral.
CCCAGGGGGGGGGUGCUAUACAUGCAAGUCGAGCGGACAGAUGGGAGCUUGCUCCCUGAUGUUAGCGGCGGACGGGUGAGUAACACGUGGGUAACCUGCCUGUAAGACUGGGAUAACUCCGGGAAACCGGGGCUAAUACCGGAUGGUUGUCUGAACCGCAUGGUUCAGACAUAAAAGGUGGCUUCGGCUACCACUUACAGAUGGACCCGCGGCGCAUUAGCUAGUUGGUGAGGUAACGGCUCACCAAGGCGACGAUGCGUAGCCGACCUGAGAGGGUGAUCGGCCACACUGGGACUGAGACACGGCCCAGACUCCUACGGGAGGCAGCAGUAGGGAAUCUUCCGCAAUGGACGAAAGUCUGACGGAGCAACGCCGCGUGAGUGAUGAAGGUUUUCGGAUCGUAAAGCUCUGUUGUUAGGGAAGAACAAGUGCCGUUCAAAUAGGGCGGCACCUUGACGGUACCUAACCAGAAAGCCACGGCUAACUACGUGCCAGCAGCCGCGGUAAUACGUAGGUGGCAAGCGUUGUCCGGAAUUAUUGGGCGUAAAGGGCUCGCAGGCGGUUUCUUAAGUCUGAUGUGAAAGCCCCCGGCUCAACCGGGGAGGGUCAUUGGAAACUGGGGAACUUGAGUGCAGAAGAGGAGAGUGGAAUUCCACGUGUAGCGGUGAAAUGCGUAGAGAUGUGGAGGAACACCAGUGGC